UGCGUAGGCGGAUAGAUAAGUCAGAGGUGAAAGCCUCCCGCUCAACGGGAGAACUGCCUUUGAUACUGUUUAUCUUGAAUGAGGUUGAGGUUAGCGGAAUGUGACAUGUAGCGGUAAAAUGCAUAGAUAUGUCAUAGAACACCAAUUGCGUAGGCAGCUAGCUAGGCCUUUAUUGACGCUGAGGCACGAAAGCAUGGGGAGCGAACAGGAUUAGAUACCCUGGUAGUCC
This 229-nucleotide ribosomal RNA is filed under the name uncultured bacterium. RNAcentral's name for it is "partial 16S ribosomal RNA". It matches the Rfam family "Bacterial small subunit ribosomal RNA", at positions 568 to 796 of the family's 1533-position model. The record is from RNAcentral.